Long non-coding RNA from Syzygium oleosum, 878 nucleotides. RefSeq lists it as uncharacterized. The record is from RefSeq and is a predicted model, not a curated record. Lineage: Eukaryota; Viridiplantae; Streptophyta; Magnoliopsida; Myrtales; Myrtaceae. The transcript is spliced from 2 exons.
GUUCCAGAUGAGGAGGUCGUUCUUCUCUCUCAAAUUUCAAAUUUCACUCCCUCUCUUUGCGUCCGAAGACACACUCUCUCGCCUUCGGCUCCGGCACGUCGCCUCCGCCGUCGCCGCCACGAGCCCCAUUGGUGCUGGGUUUGAAGCUCGUAUCCGCCUCCGGCACUUCGGCUCAAAUCCGCAUCCGGCACGUUGUGACUCUUUUUCUCGUGGGUUUUGGCUUCCAAAACUAGGUGGCGGGAUCUUUGGAGGCAUUGGUCCAGGAAUGCUAGGUCUAGAAAUGCCUCUGCAUCAGCAGCAGAAGCCCCCAAAUGCCCAAAACCCUCACUACUUGCACCAAUAGGUGGUUCGAGGGGUCAUAGUGGGCAAGGACAAGAAGAUGAAAACGCUCACAACGAGAGGACAUCUUCGCGCAAAAGGCCGAGGAAAUGCCUACUCUCGCUCUCGAUGGCACUCCUUCGGCAACUGAGCGGCGAGGUGACAAGCAUGAUGCAAGACGGCAACAGGAGUCUGUGGGAGAAGAAGCCGUAGAUGAAGGCGAAGGUGUUGUAGCUGGAGGAGCAGCAAGUGAGCAACCAGCUGCAAGCGUUCGAGCUCGAAAAGGCAGCGGCUGAAGUGGGUGAAGUUCAGCAACAAGAAGGACAGGGAAAUGGAGAGAGCCAAGCUCGAGAACGAGAGAAUGGUGCUUCUCAUCUGCCAGAAGCUCAAAUUGCUCGAUCCUCAACAGGAACAGCAACAUUCAUUCAACAAAUGGAGUGAACCGUCCUCGAUCACAGGAUAAUUUUUACAUUAUCUAAGAUAGAGUAGAAACAACGAACUGAUUAUUCUUAAGAAAUGUAGUUGUGAUCUCAGUUUUUCUAUAUGAAUUCAAUUGUGUA